This 1804-nucleotide ribosomal RNA is filed under the name Triticum dicoccoides. RNAcentral's name for it is "bacterial LSU rRNA". Lineage: Eukaryota; Viridiplantae; Streptophyta; Magnoliopsida; Poales; Poaceae. The record is from RNAcentral.
AAGCGUAAUAGCUCACUGAUCGAGUCGUCCUGCGCGGAAGAUGUAACGGGGCUAAGCCAGUCACCGAAGCUGCGGAUAUCAAUUUAUUGAUAUGGUAGGAGAGCGUUCUGUAAGCCUGCGAAGGUGUCUUGUAAAGGAUGCUGGAGGUAUCAGAAGUGCGAAUGCUGACAUGAGUAGCGAUAAUGGGGGUGAAAAGCCUCCACGCCGUAAGCCCAAGGUUUCCUGUUCAACGUUCAUCGGAGCAGGGUGAGUCGGCCCCUAAGGCGAGGCAGAGAUGCGUAGCUGAUGGGAAGCAGGUUAAUAUUCCUGCACCGUCGUUAGAUNUGCGAUGGGGGGACGGAUCGCGGAAGGUUGUCCGGGUGUUGGAAGUCCCGGUUUCUGUAUCAGAGAAGGCUGUUAGGCAAAUCCGGCAGCGUAAUUCAAGGGUAUGGGACGAGUGAACUUGUUCACGAAGCAAUCGGAAGUGGUUCCAAGAAAAGCCUCUAAGCUUCAGUCUAACGAGACCGUACCGCAAACCGACACAGGUGGGCGAGAUGAGUAUUCUAAGGCGCUUGAGAGAACUCGGGAGAAGGAACUCGGCAAAUUUGUACCGUAACUUCGGGAUAAGGUACGCCCUAGUAAUUUGACAGGCCUGCGCUUGAAGGAUGAAAGGGUUGCAAUAAAAAGGUGGCUGCGACUGUUUAAUAAAAACACAGCACUCUGCAAACACGAAAGUGGACGUAUAGGGUGUGACGCCUGCCCGGUGCYGGAAGRUUAAWUGAUGGGGUUAGCUAACGCGAAGCUCUUGAUYGAAGYCCCRGUAAACGGCGGCCGUAACUAUAACGGUCCUAAGGUAGCGAAAUUCCUUGUCGGGUAAGUUCCGACCUGCACGAAUGGCGUAACGAUGGCCACACUGUCUCCUCCCGAGACUCAGCGAAGUUGAAAUGUUUGUGAUGAUGCAAUCUACCCGCGGCUAGACGGAAAGACCCCAUGAACCUUUACUGUAGCUUUGCAUUGGACUUUGAACCAAUCUGUGUAGGAUAGGUGGGAGGCUUUGAAGCGGGGACGCUAGUUCUCGUGGAGCCAUCCUUGAAAUACCACCCUGGUUUGUUUGAGGUUCUAACCUUGGUCCGUUAUCCGGAUCGGGGACAGUGCAUGGUAGGCAGUUUGACUGGGGCGGUCUCCUCCCAAAGUGUAACGGAGGAGUUCGAAGGUACGCUAGGUACGGUCGGACAUCGUGCUAAUAGUGCAAUGGCAUAAGCGUGCUUAACUGCGAGACUGACAAGUCGAGCAGGUACGAAAGUAGGACAUAGUGAUCCGGUGGUUCUGUAUGGAAGGGCCAUCGCUCAACGGAUAAAAGGUACUCUGGGGAUAACAGGCUGAUUCCUCCCAAGAGUUCAUAUCGACGGGGGAGUUUGGCACCUCGAUGUCGGCUCAUCACAUCCUGGGGCUGUAGCCGGUCCCAAGGGUAUGGCUGUUCGCCAUUUAAAGUGGUACGUGAGCUGGGUUUAAAACGUCGUGAGACAGUUUGGUCCCUAUCUGCCGUGGGCGUUGGAAGUUUGAAGGGGGCUGCUCCUAGUACGAGAGGACCGGAGUGGACGAACCUCUGGUGUAUCGGUUGUCACGCCAGUGGCAUUGCCGAGUAGCUAAGUUCGGAAGAGAUAACCGCUGAAAGCAUCUAAGCGGGAAACUCGCCUUAAGAUGAGACUUCCCGGGAACUAGAUUCCCCUAAAGGGUCGUUCGAGACCAGGACGUUGAUAGGUCAGGUGUGGAAGUGCAGUAAUGCAUUAAGCUAACUGAUACUAAUUGCCCGUGCGGCUUGUUC